RNAcentral lists this ribosomal RNA (226 nucleotides) under uncultured bacterium. RNAcentral's name for it is "partial 16S ribosomal RNA". It matches the Rfam family "Bacterial small subunit ribosomal RNA", at positions 538 to 763 of the family's 1533-position model. The record is from RNAcentral.
GCGUUGUCCGGAUUUAUUGGGCGUAAAGAGCGUGUAGGCGGUCAGGUAGGUGCGCUGUGAAAACUCCAGGCUUAACCUGGAGACGGCGGUGGAAACCCUCUGACUAGAGUCCGGGAGAGGAAAGUGGAAUUCCUGGUGUAGCGGUGAAAUGCGCAGAUAUCAAGAGGAACACCUGAGGUGAAGACGGGUUGCUGGUCUAACACUGACGCUGAGGCGCGAAAGCGAG